This 857-nucleotide ribosomal RNA is filed under the name uncultured bacterium. RNAcentral describes it as "SSU rRNA". It matches the Rfam family "Bacterial small subunit ribosomal RNA", at positions 524 to 1381 of the family's 1533-position model. The record is from RNAcentral.
UACGGAGGGUGCAAGCGUUAUCCGGAUUCACUGGGUUUAAAGGGUGCGUAGGCGGGUAGGUAAGUCAGUGGUGAAAUCCUGGAGCUCAACUCCAGAACUGCCAUUGAUACUAUCUAUCUUGAAUAUUGUGGAGGUAAGCGGAAUAUGUCAUGUAGCGGUGAAAUGCUUAGAUAUGACAUAGAACACCCAUUGCGAAGGCAGCUUACUACGCAUAUAUUGACGCUGAGGCACGAAAGCGUGGGGAUCAAACAGGAUUAGAUACCCUGGUAGUCCACGCCCUAAACGAUGGAUACUCGACAUACGCGAUACACUGUGUGUGUCUGAGCGAAAGCAUUAAGUAUCCCACCUGGGAAGUACGUUCGCAAGAAUGAAACUCAAAGGAAUUGGCGGGGGUCCGCACAAGCGGUGGAGUAUGUGGUUUAAUUCGAUGAUACGCGAGGAACCUUACCUGGGCUAGAAUGCUGGGAGACCGCUAGUGAAAGCUAGUUUUGUAGCAAUACACUGCCAGUAAGGUGCUGCAUGGCCGUCGUCAGCUCGUGCCGUGAGGUGUUGGGUUAAGUCCCGCAACGAGCGCAACCCCUAUCUUUAGUUGCCAACAGGUAAUGCUGGGAACUCUAAAGAAACUGCCGCCGUAAGGUGUGAGGAAGGAGGGGAUGAUGUCAGGUCAUCAUGGCCUUUAUGCCCAGGGCUACACACGUACUACAAUGGGGGAGACAAAGGGCUGCAACAUAGCGAUAUGAAGCCAAUCCCAAAAACUCCCUCUCAGUUCAGAUUGCAGGCUGCAACUCGCCUGCAUGAAGCUGGAAUCGCUAGUAAUCGUAUAUCAGCAAUGAUACGGUGAAUACGUUUCCGGACCU